UACGGAGGGUGCAAGCGUUAUCCGGAUUCACUGGGUUUAAAGGGUGCGUAGGUGGGCAAGUAAGUCAGUGGUGAAAUCUCCGGGCUUAACCCGGAAACUGCCAUUGAUACUAUUUGUCUUGAAUACUGUGGAGGUUAGCGGAAUAUGUCAUGUAGCGGUGAAAUGCUUAGAUAUGACAUAGAACACCAAUUGCGAAGGCAGCUGGCUACACAAAUAUUGACACUGAGGCACGAAAGCGUGGGGAUCAAACAGG
This 253-nucleotide ribosomal RNA is filed under the name uncultured bacterium. Its description in RNAcentral is "partial 16S ribosomal RNA". It matches the Rfam family "Bacterial small subunit ribosomal RNA", at positions 524 to 776 of the family's 1533-position model. The record is from RNAcentral.